This 574-nucleotide ribosomal RNA is filed under the name Pseudomonas aeruginosa. Its description in RNAcentral is "bacterial SSU rRNA". It matches the Rfam family "Bacterial small subunit ribosomal RNA", at positions 159 to 728 of the family's 1533-position model. Lineage: Bacteria; Pseudomonadati; Pseudomonadota; Gammaproteobacteria; Pseudomonadales; Pseudomonadaceae. The record is from RNAcentral.
GGCGCUAAUACCGCAUACGUCCUGAGGGAGAAAGUGGGGGAUCUUCGGACCUCACGCUAUCAGAUGAGCCUAGGUCGGAUUAGCUAGUUGGUGGGGUAAAGGCCUACCAAGGCGACGAUCCGUAACUGGUCUGAGAGGAUGAUCAGUCACACUGGAACUGAGACACGGUCCAGACUCCUACGGGAGGCAGCAGUGGGGAAUAUUGGACAAUGGGCGAAAGCCUGAUCCAGCCAUGCCGCGUGUGUGAAGAAGGUCUUCGGAUUGUAAAGCACUUUAAGUUGGGAGGAAGGGCAGUAAGUUAAUACCUUGCUGUUUUGACGUUACCAACAGAAUAAGCACCGGCUAACUUCGUGCCAGCAGCCGCGGUAAUACGAAGGGUGCAAGCGUUAAUCGGAAUUACUGGGCGUAAAGCGCGCGUAGGUGGUUCAGCAAGUUGGAUGUGAAAUCCCCGGGCUCAACCUGGGAACUGCAUCCAAAACUACUGAGCUAGAGUACGGUAGAGGGUGGUGGAAUUUCCUGUGUAGCGGUGAAAUGCGUAGAUAUAGGAAGGAACACCAGUGGCGAAGGCGACCAC